This 476-nucleotide ribosomal RNA is filed under the name uncultured bacterium. Its description in RNAcentral is "partial 16S ribosomal RNA". It matches the Rfam family "Bacterial small subunit ribosomal RNA", at positions 29 to 523 of the family's 1533-position model. The record is from RNAcentral.
AGUGAACGCUGGCGGCGUGCCUAACACAUGUAAGUCGAACGAUGAUGGAGAGCUUGCUCUCAUGAUUAGUGGCGCACGGGUGCGUAUACCAUAGAUAAUGUACCCCUUAGUUCGGGAUAGCAACUGGAAAUGGUGCUUAAUACUGGAUACUCCUUAUCAUUAUAAGAUGAGUCGGGAAAGUUUUUUCGCUAAGGGAUCAGUCUAUGACCUAUCGGCUAGUUGGUGAGGUAAUGGCUCACCAAGGCUAUGACGGGGAUCUGGUUUAAGAGGAUGAUCAGACACACUGGAACUGAGACACGGUCCAGACUCCUACGGGAUGCAGCAGUGAGGAAUAUUGCACAAUGGAGGAAACUCUGAUGCAGCAACGCCGCGUGGAGGAUGACGCAUUUCGGUGUGUAAACUCCUUCUAAGAGGGAAGAUUAUGACGGUACCUCUUGAAUAAGCACCGGCUAACUCUGUGCCAGCCGCCGCGGUAA